Lolium rigidum is the source of this 2048-nucleotide long non-coding RNA. RefSeq lists it as uncharacterized. Lineage: Eukaryota; Viridiplantae; Streptophyta; Magnoliopsida; Poales; Poaceae. The transcript has 3 exons. The record is from RefSeq and is a predicted model, not a curated record.
UUCGCCCCCGCUCCCUUCUCCUCCGUCACCCGCUUCCUCUCCGUCGCCCGCGCCGCCCUACAUGGCCCGCGUCGGCACCGCCCCUGUUUACCCGAUCUCCGCCGGCAUCUUCCUCUCCCUUCCCACCGUCGCCUUUCUCCUCCAGGAAUCUCCUCUUCCUUUCAAGGUCAAAGGUCAAACUUUUAUGCGCUCGAUCUGCGGGGAACGACGACGAUGGCACAGGCGCGUCGCGGCAGGCGAGCCAGUGAACCCGUAGACCUACCUGUGCUGGAGUCCGCUACCGCAGGCUAGCUUCUCGGAGCACAAUCUGCUUGGCCGCGGCGGCUUCCGCUCCGUCCACAAUCUGCAAGCACCUCGCAACCUCACACACCUCCUUUGUCCUUCUCGCUUUGAUUCAGACCGUGCUGGAGGGCCGGCAGGAGAUCACGGUGAAGCGGCUGUCCUGGAGGCGUGGCAGUGGUGCGGGAGUUCCUCAGCGAGGUGCGCCUGCUUCUCAAGGUGCGGCACUGGAACCUCGUCUCCCUCAUAGUGCACCAAAUGCAGUGGAAGAAGAUCUAGGGGACAUGGACAAAUAAGUCUGAAAUGCUUGUUAACUUAGGGUUGUACGAGCUAGUACUACAAUUGAGUGGAUGCAACUGUUUGUCAAUAAUUUCUCACCGGAUAUAUAUUAGGAACGCUGGUUAGUUUUACGGAGAGUAGAGUUAGGUUCAGGACUGAUCGGGAGAACUAAGUAUCUUUCUAAAAAUCAUGUUUGUGCGAGUUUCCUGGUUUUUUAACCUCAAAAGGCACUAGGUACCACAUCUGACCGCUGUCAAAAAACAAAUUGGUAUCACACCAGACCAUUUCAUUAUUAGACUUUUUGUUUAUCAGUACAAUGCAUCGUGCAAAACUACCACAAAGUUUGGUGCAUAGGGAAUUACAUUUGCUGCUUGUAGUAAGUUGAAAUUUGCUGGUGUUUUUACUAUGCAGGUUAGAUCUGCAAAAUUUGGCUGUCAUCUGAUCAUGCAGGAGCUUGUAGUUGACACAAUGCAAAGCUUCGGCCGGUUCCCAUGUGUUCACUUACUGCUGCUGUCAAUCACAACAAAAAUUGAUGUGCACUCUCAUUGUAAAACUCUCUGUUUGUAGGAUUUAUACACUAGAGUUCUAAUAAUAUGCAUGAAAUGGUUGCUCAAAAUAAGAAGAUGAAUGAUCAAGGUUGUAACAGAGGAUAGAGAGCAUGCUAAGACCAUGACCUCCUUCCAUGCUUGAUAUCAUGACUUCCUUCCAUGCUUGCUACUAUUAGACUUGGUUUUGGACAUUUCUGCAUAUGUACAAAGGCUCUAUGCUGAGACCUGGUUUUGGAAAUUUCUACCAGUAUUUGUUUUUAAUUCUUGAUUUCUGAGAUUUGGAUGAAUUUGGAAUUGGAAUUACCGUUUUUGGUUUUAAUCUCAUCUGGUUGUCUUCCAUGUGCAUGUUUAUGGUGUUAUGCAAUCUUACUUUCAAUUUAUAGCUAAACAAGGUGUGGUAGAGUAGUUUAUGCACCUGACAAUCUCUUGAAAAAUAUGUGUGAGAAGUUGUCCUGCAACCAUAACAAGAUAUGGUUUGGUUCUUUUUUCGUUAUGUUAACCAAGGUCUAUAAUGAUGGAUGUUUAAAGAUUGUGAAUCUUAGUUUGUCGAUUAGAUUUUGCAGACGGGACAAACUUAUCAGCGUUUAUUCAUAGCAGUUCAGGAACCAAUAUUUUCAGAGUUGCUAGAGUGCUGAUAUAGCAUCUUCUUCAGCCCAGGUGCCUUCUUCUUCAGGUGGACUCGAAUUAAGGUCUGGCAUAACCAUGGCUACCUGCUGCUGCUCGGGGUGGCGAUCUAAUGCUAAUGAGGAGUAUCCAUCUGCUGCUGCUGGGGAGACGAGGUGAUGGAGCCAGCGAUCUGCUGCUGCUCGGGAGACGAGAAGAUGGAGCCAGCGAUCUGCUGUGGAGGCGGCUAGGAGGAGAAGCUGGUGAGGUGUUUGUACCGCAGAUCGCCACCGGCGAGGUGCUGGGCGAGCAGGAGCACCUCGGAUGGUGAGAUUCUGG